UGACUCAUCCCUCCUCCGUGCCGUGCUGCCAGGCUGUCUGGCGGCCCUGCGUGCAGAGACAGUGAUAGAUCUGGAGAGCUGUUGCUGCUGGUCCGUGGUGACUGGGGAUGGCAUGUCAGGUGGAGAAGAAUUUCCUCUGUGUGCGCAUUUAGACAGCUUCAGAAGGGAGGAAAACACAGAAGACGAGGGCUGAAAGAUGGCAUUGGACUUGGCACAGGGAUGGUCAGGAGGUCCUGAGUCACUUUGAGAAGGUACAAAGGAAGCCAGAUUGAGCCAGCUUGAAGAGUCAGGGAGAGGGAGGGGUGGAGAUGGCUGUGGAAAAUGUUUGACUCUGAAAACUUGGGGUCUAGAAGGGAGGUGUUUGGGUUGCAUCUUUAGUAUGAGCUACUUGGUUAUAUUUAAAGCCUGAAAAUGAGUUAGUAGAGAAACUUUGAAAAUUAAGAGACAGAGAGCACGUGGAUGCUGCUAGACAUUGGUCCCUGAGGAGUCAAGAGGGUGAUUCAGAGGAUGGAGAGGUGCUGUUUCCUGGGAAUGGGGGUGUCCUCUCAUCACCACAGCACCAUUGUCAGCUUACAAAACCCGUCUAGAUGCUGCACCCCAGUAUUUCCAGUCCCC
This 615-nucleotide long non-coding RNA is filed under the name Homo sapiens (human). RNAcentral describes it as "non-protein coding lnc-PCBP3-3:6". Lineage: Eukaryota; Metazoa; Chordata; Mammalia; Primates; Hominidae. The record is from RNAcentral.